RNAcentral lists this ribosomal RNA (497 nucleotides) under uncultured bacterium. RNAcentral describes it as "partial 16S ribosomal RNA". It matches the Rfam family "Bacterial small subunit ribosomal RNA", at positions 28 to 507 of the family's 1533-position model. The record is from RNAcentral.
GAUGAACGCUGGCGGCGUGCCUAAUACAUGCAAGUCGAGCGAACAGAUAAGGAGCUUGCUCCUUUGACGUUAGCGGCGGACGGGUGAGUAACACGUGGAUAACCUACCUAUAAGACUGGGAUAACUUCGGGAAACCGGAGCUAAUACCGGAUAACAUAUUGAACCGCAUGGUUCAAUAGUGAAAGGCGGCUUUGCUGUCACUUAUAGAUGGAUCCGCGCCGUAUUAGCUAGUUGGUAAGGUAACGGCUUACCAAGGCAACGAUACGUAGCCGACCUGAGAGGGUGAUCGGCCACACUGGAACUGAGACACGGUCCAGACCCCUACGGGAGGCAGCAGUAGGGAAUCUUCCGCAAAGGGCGAAAGCCUGACGGAGCAACGCCGCGUGAGUGAUGAAGGUCUUCGGAUCGUAAAACUCUGUUAUCAGGGAAGAACAAAUGUGUAAGUAACUGUGCACAUCUUGACGGUACCUGAUCAGAAAGCCACGGCUAACUACGUG